GACCAUGUAGCUCAGUUGGAAGAGCAUUGGGCUAGUAUUCCAAAGGUCGUAGGUUCGAAUCCCACCGUUGCCG
Molecule: transfer RNA, 73 nt
Filed under: Paramuricea clavata
Lineage: Eukaryota; Metazoa; Cnidaria; Anthozoa; Malacalcyonacea; Plexauridae
Rfam family: tRNA
About the family: Transfer RNA (tRNA) molecules are approximately 80 nucleotides in length. Their secondary structure includes four short double-helical elements and three loops (D, anti-codon, and T loops).
Source: Rfam by way of RNAcentral